UGAAGUGCCCAUGGAAAGUACAGCAGUGAAUUACGUUAAUUAUUGUUAAUAAGAUCAGACUUUAUUUCAUUAAGAUCAAACUGAGCUAUGAGUGGUUAAAUGUAAUUUAAACAAGCAUUUACCUAAUGAUUUUUUACCUUUUUAUGCGUUUUCCUCAUCAGUAAAUAUGGUAUCUGUUCAUUUACAGUUGUUUGUCCGUAUUUUUCUAAACUGCCGUGCGCGGGAAGUGACGUGACGUCCCAAUCACCCACUCACUCUCUCUGCACCUGCGUGUCUGACUGGAUUAACGGUAAACGUCAGCUUGUCUGUGAGAGUGUGAAAGGUGUGUUGGUGUAAAAAUUGAUGCUGACUGAACUCAGGCAGUUGUGCUGGACCUUCUGUACUUUAUACAGGAGAUGACAGUAAACUUUCAAGUUUAAGAGGUGUGUUGGUGUAAAAAGUGAUGCUGACUGAACUCAUGCAGUUGUGUUGGACCCUCUGUACCUUAUACAGGAGAUGACGGUAAACUUUGAAGUUUAAGAGGUUCUGUAAUUUUGGAUAUAAGUACAAGGUGUGUUGGUGUAAAAAUUGAUGCUGACUGAACUCGGGCAGUUGUGCUGGACCAUCUGUACUUAGUACAGGGGAUGACAGUAAACUUUCAAGCUUAAGAGCCACCUGAUGAUGAGAGAGACAAUUUCAAUGUGGGCAUCUUGAUGGUGAGCCAGGCCUUCAUGCUAAUUUUGUGACCGUUUAAUCUAUUUAGCGUCAUUGUAAUAACAUUA
Non-coding RNA from Danio rerio (zebrafish), 761 nucleotides. The record is from RefSeq and is a predicted model, not a curated record. Lineage: Eukaryota; Metazoa; Chordata; Actinopteri; Cypriniformes; Danionidae.